CGCUCUGAUAUCGACGACGGCGAGACGGAAGCCGGUGAGAACCCGGCACGGUCGCGCCACUGUGGACGGUGUACCCCGAAGGGGCACACACCGCGAGUCAGACCCGUGGCCGUCGUCAUGUGCACCAC
RNAcentral lists this non-coding RNA (128 nucleotides) under Actinomycetota bacterium. The record is from RNAcentral. Lineage: Bacteria; Bacillati; Actinomycetota.